GGUGAAAUGGCUGAGAUUUCAGGCAAUAAACUGUAAAUUUAUUUAGGAAAAUUAUUUUCUUUCACCA
RNAcentral lists this transfer RNA (67 nucleotides) under Haliplus flavicollis. RNAcentral describes it as "tRNA-Tyr". RNAcentral also lists the same sequence under 2 other names. Lineage: Eukaryota; Metazoa; Arthropoda; Insecta; Coleoptera; Haliplidae. The record is from RNAcentral.